GGGGAGUCUUCCUUGGUGAUUGGAAAAGCUAAUAGUUUAAAGCUUUGGGGAGUCUUCCCUGGUGAUUGGAAAAGCUAGCCUAGUGAAAAGCAAGAGGUGUGAAUCCCAGAAAUUCGAACCCUGUGAGACGGACUACACGUGGAUAGCUAAGUUCAUAGUCUUUGUGUAAAACAAGUUAUAGAAACGGAAAGCAUUCAGGUAUCGCAGCAGUUGACGAUCGUUCUCGGGGCAAGAGGCCCGUGGUUGAUGAGUAGAUCUGAGCAUAGAUGUUGCCUGCUUAUUUUGGGAGUCUGUUGCAUAUAUUGUGACACUGUGAUGUAUUAUGUUUAUGUAGGUUGAUGUAGGAUGUUGUAGUUAUGGCACAGAGUCACCUUUUUGAUAUGAUAUAUAUAGAGUUAUGGAUCAU
Gastrolobium bilobum is the source of this 406-nucleotide long non-coding RNA. RefSeq lists it as uncharacterized. The record is from RefSeq and is a predicted model, not a curated record. The transcript is spliced from 3 exons. Lineage: Eukaryota; Viridiplantae; Streptophyta; Magnoliopsida; Fabales; Fabaceae.